This is a long non-coding RNA of Canis lupus familiaris (dog), 2724 nucleotides long. RefSeq lists it as uncharacterized. The transcript has 3 exons. Lineage: Eukaryota; Metazoa; Chordata; Mammalia; Carnivora; Canidae. The record is from RefSeq and is a predicted model, not a curated record.
UAAGGAUGGGGCUGUCAUAAUGGGAUCAGCAGCCUUGUCACAGAGGCCAGGGAGCUGUGCAUUUUGUCUACACGGCGUGAGGACACAAAGUCAACAGUUUUGCAGCCCAGAAGAGGGGUCUCACUACGACCUAACCACCCUGGCACCCAGAGCUUGGACUUCUGGCUUCCAAAACGUUUAAUUCACAGGCCUCGUCAUUGAACAUAAGAGGAUAAAGGAACUUUUUUUUCCCACCCAGACACUGGCGACAUCAGAACUCAAUAAAUAUUGAAAGACACUGACCAGCAGGCCUAAGAUACAGUCUCAGAGGCCCAGAUAAUCAUUCGCUCUAGCAGCUGAGCCUGGCAGACACACAGACUGAGUGCGCAAGCUAAGUUACCGGUUCGAGGCAUGUUCCAGGAAUGAGUCUUCUAACAGCAUUGCUGCAACCUCUCUGCUGCUCCCUGACGCCUCUCAACUCAGGCCACCAGAAAAGAACGGUUUAAUCUUUUUUGUUUCUGUUUAACCUUUUUUGUUUCUGUUUUUCACAUAUGCAUGUUCUAGUUGAUUAGCAGGAUGAUAGAAAGUAUCUGUGAUAUGCUCAGCUGGGCUGGGAAGAUAAUAAACCUCAUCUUCUUGGGCCUUCAGAACUGAAGAGCUUCAUUGCUCUCAACCCAGAAGCACAUCCUGCCAUUGGAAGAUUUGAAGAUGCAUGUGAAAAAAAAAAAAAAUUUUUUAGGCUUUGUUUCCCAGGCAACUGCUCUCAAUUCAAGAUUGAAUGCAAGCAAGAGGAUCCCCCAGAGGCACUUCUGUCCCCCACUUCCUCUCAUCCCCUUUAUCGCAAUAAAGCUGUAAACUCUGAGGACCCAGGAUGCCACCUUCCUUUGGAGAACAAAAGGAGGAGAUGCAAGGGAUGGUUCAGCAGUGAUGCUGAAUUCACUAGGAUGAAAUGCCUGCUGGAGGGCAAUAGAUUGUAGAAACACCGUGUCAGAUCGACAGGGAAGAGGCACAAGUUGACCCACAUGUUGGCAGGCCAGAGACGAUGGAACAGCAGCCAUUCUGUCAUUUGUCAUUUGUCUUGACCUUGAAGCAGCAGUUCAUCUCAGUUGAUAACAGGCCAGGAAAGCUGGCCUUUUCAGACCCACAAAGUAAAGCCUUGGUGUCGGAAUGACACCUAAGUUGCCACCAGGGUUGCUUUAGCACGGCACGAGCCGUAGGUGUCUACUGUUGAAAUCUCCUGCCAUUUGCAUUGUAAGGAGCCUGAAAUCACCAGGGAUUUUGAAAUCACCUUGGCAGUCAGUACCGACUUGGAGAUUUUCCAAUAGUCUCAGGACCUGUUAAAUGUAUGUGAUACCCACAUACCAACUAUGAAAACACGCUUUGUCCUUGCAGUUAGAAGGUAGGGGCCACUCCUCCCUGGAAGGCAUGCCUCUUACCAGAAUCCUCCCCUCAGCUUUCUGAAGUGAGGCUGAGUCUGGGGAGGGGACGUGGGGAGGAACACACUUUAAAUGUGUUAUGUCAAGAUUUUUCUUUCUCAGUGUGCUCGUGGCACUGGCCUUCCGAUACAUAGCACAAGGAUCGUGUGCACAAUUUGACGUUCGAAAAUAAAAGUAGCUGUUGAAUCGCUAGGUGUUGGACAUUUUCUAGAAUGCCAGUACUCUCUUGGUGUUUAUUCUAUCCAAGGGACAACUAAUUUCACAGAAUCUCCAGUAGAAAAACAUCACAGCAAGCAAAGAGAGAAAACAAGAGGACAAAGAAUGAACAGGACAGAAAUGGGAUAAAAAAUACAAACCACGAACAAAUCAAAGAGGAAGAGAUGGAAGGGUGAAAAAGAGAGCGAAUAUAAAGCUGCCUCCGAAAUCUGCAAGAGCAUGAUCCCCUAUUUGUAUAAGACAGAGUUAAAAGAAACAGAACAGUUAUCCGGAUGAUGAUAUAUACUACAAAUGCCAAAGAUUAAAAACUGCCUGAUUUCACAUACUCUUGACUUUCCGUUCCAGCAUGUUGCUGGAAGUUCCCAGGCACAUGUGUCUGUGAGCAAUCCCAGCAUUCGACGAUGCAAUAUAAGAAGCUCAGGAUUUUAUAUCUGGUAGGGGUCUUGGAAAGGAUUUAGUUCAAACCCCUCAGGAUGUAGAUAAAGAAAGUAAGAAAUGCUUCCCAGACUCGGAAAUCUGUUCCCUUCGUUCCAACUCAAGUAGAACAGAUGAGGAGUAAUGGUAAUGGGAUGAGGCACACGGUAGGGGCGUUGGUGACUAUGAGUGAGGCCAGUGUGGGCUCAGCAAGCUAUUAUCUUUGCAGAGCCGGCAGUUGGAGCGGUGCUGCUCUCUGGACCAUCAGCCUCAAAUUGAAAACCAUGCGUCUUUCACAGGAGCCAUCCUACUUUUGGAAAUUCAGUGUCAGAUGGGACAAUCGCACCAGAUUCCGGAGCAAGCUUUCUUCUAAGAACUUAAGUCAUCCCUUUAUGAAACAACCUAAUCUAAAAUGCGUUGGAAAUUAUUUGAGUCUGGAUUCAAAAACGUCAGGCUUUUUAUUUAUAAAGAGACUAUUUUAAGAUAGGACCCAAAUAUUUUUUUCCUAUAAAUCUGUUUGAACUGUUUUUGAGACCAUUAGCCAGUUUUCAAAGAAUUUCCCCGUUUAGCAAAGGGAAGGUUUGAAAUAUUUUCAAAACUGCAGAGUUAGGGGCAGCCUGGGUGGCUCAGCGGUUUAGUGCCGCCUUCAACCCGAGGCCUGAUCCUGGGGACCCCGGAU